UGGGGGAUAUUGCACAAUGGGCGAAAGCCUGAUGCAGCGACGCCGCGUGGGGGAUGAAGGCCUUCGGGUUGUAAACUUCUUUUGCUCUGAACAAGGCGCACCAUGGGGUGUGUUGAGUGUAGGGGUUGAUUAGCGCCGGCUAACUACGUGCCAGCAGCCGCGGUAAUACGUAGGGCGCGAGCGUUGUCCGGAAUUAUUGGGCGUAAAGGGCUUGUAGGUGGCUGGGUGCGUCUGUCGUGAAAGCUCAUGGCUUAACUGUGGGUUUGCGGUGGGUACGGGCUGGCUUGAGUGCAGUAGGGGAGGCUGGAAUUCCUGGUGUAGCGGUGGAAUGCGCAGAUAUCAGGAGGAAUACCGGUGGCGAAGGCGGGUCGCUGGGCUGUUACUGACACUGAGGAGCGAAAGCAUGGGGAGCGAACAGG
This 419-nucleotide ribosomal RNA is filed under the name bacterium. Its description in RNAcentral is "partial 16S ribosomal RNA". It matches the Rfam family "Bacterial small subunit ribosomal RNA", at positions 355 to 776 of the family's 1533-position model. The record is from RNAcentral.